Molecule: ribosomal RNA, 416 nt
Filed under: uncultured Glomeromycotina
Lineage: Eukaryota; Fungi; Glomeromycota
Description: SSU rRNA
Rfam family: Eukaryotic small subunit ribosomal RNA
Source: RNAcentral
AGCAGCCGCGGUAAUUCCAGCUCCAAUAGCGUAUAUUAAAGUUGCUGCAGUUAAAAAGCUCGUAGUUGAAUUUCGGGACCAUCAUGUCGGUCGUGCCUCGGUACGUACUGGCAUUGUUGGUUUCUCCCUUCUGACGAACCAUGAUGUCAUUAAUUUGGUGUCAUGGGGAAUCAGGACUGUUACUUUGAAAAAAUUAGAGUGUUUAAAGCAGGCUCACGCUUGAAUACAUUGGCAUGGAAUAAUGAAAUAGGACGUUUGAUUCUAUUUCGUUAGUUUCUAGGAUCGACGUAAUGAUUAAUAGGGAUAGUUGGGGGCAUUAGUAUUCAAUUGUCAGAGGUGAAAUUCUUGGAUUUAUUGAAGACUAACUACUGCGAAAGCAUUUGCCAAGGAUGUUUUCAUUAAUCAAGAACGAAAGU